UUAUGUUGCGGCCUCGAGCCGGGUUGUAACAAAAUUGAGUACUGAUGAUGAUUUAAUGUUUCUGGAAGUGUUUUGAUUUUCAUUGCACCCUUCAAACUCUUCUAUGGUGUUUUCUUCAUUUCCCUCCUUUUGUCAUUCAUUUUAUAAACAGGUCUAUAAAUUAAAAUCAUACUGAGCACAGAGAAAAGAAGAAGUCAUUAAUCGAGUUCAGGCCGUAAGCUUCCCGUGACAGUGCAACAUGAGGAUUACAGCUGGCAGCUUACCAACUGUAGUGUGCACAGAUGGACCAGCAAGACCCAGAGAGAAAAAUACACCUUUCAAGCCGAGCUGAUGCCACUUGGCAGUUUGCAGCUGGGUCCAAGUCUGUUUGUGCUACGAAGCGUGCAGAAAAUGAAGCUCUGGCACUCUGACUCUGCAGGAUUUUAAAAUGCGAAGCUGGCGGGAAAUGGAUGGAAAGGAAGAUGCCGCUGGCUGUUUGUUUUUGUUUAAUAUGAUGAAAUCAGCCUCCAGAUGGGAUCCUAGAAUGAUUACCAUAUGGGCCCACAGUGAUUUAUGAGACUCGUUGGCGCUGAAUGCCUCGGUAGCUCAGAUUCCACCUGCCAUCAACACAGACUGAUCACUCUGUCAUAUGAAGGAGGCAGUGAUGUGUACAUUUAUUUGAGAUGUCAAAGAGUGCGUUAAAGUGAAAUAAACCUAUUUUAUCUACA
Long non-coding RNA from Oreochromis aureus, 707 nucleotides. Lineage: Eukaryota; Metazoa; Chordata; Actinopteri; Cichliformes; Cichlidae. The record is from Ensembl.